RNAcentral lists this small nuclear RNA (106 nucleotides) under Erinaceus europaeus (western European hedgehog). The record is from RNAcentral. Lineage: Eukaryota; Metazoa; Chordata; Mammalia; Eulipotyphla; Erinaceidae.
GUACUCAUCUGAAUACUACAUAUACUAAAAUUGGAAAUGAUACAGAGGUUAGGGCUGGUCCCUGUACAAGGAUGAUAUGAAAAUUCAUGAAGUGUUUCGUUUUUAA